AUGGUGCAGCGCUCGCUCGUCCCCAAGCUCAAGCUCAAGACGGCGGUCGCUCCUGUCUCACCGCUCUCUGUGCCCGCUCCUCGAAAGCGUCGACGGAGUAACACAUGCGCGCCCGAGGCACGUGCAUUACCGGUAGUGUGCAUGCUUCCAACCGACCUCAUGCUUGAGAUCGUCGCACGUUCCUACCAAUCCACCCUCAUUCACUGCGCUGCCGCCUGCAAGGACCUCCGCCGUGAGAUCCUAAACCCACCACGGAAGAAAUCCGAACGCCGCUCUGACCUGUGCGACUACGACUCCAUAACUGGUGAGCGCACCUUCUUUUCUAAGCCACCAGACAUCUCUUACAUUCGCUGCAAGAUCAGCACGCAUGUCCUACUCACUGCUGCAGAUGGAAUCUACAGUGACUGCUGCUUCACGCUCUUGGUCGCAGAUCUCAGCGGCUAUGUAGAUUGUUGGGAUAGUAUAACGAUUCAGACAAUAUCGUCAAAUGCCGGUGGCACAUGGUCGCCUUCCAUUCAUGUUGGCCACCUUGGCUUCCCAUGGUGGUCUCUCCAGGAGCACCGCGACGCCGUUGUUCUUCCUAGUGGCAUCAUCCACUGGCUCGUCUGGCAUGGUGACAACAUCCUCACAUAUGACAUCCACACAAAAAACCCCGGCACGCUAAAGAUCCCAUUACACUCGGGUUGCUGGACGCUGGACGACGUCAUCAACACGGAGGGGAAAUUGCGGGCGCUGGACCCCAAUAUUCCUUCCGGGCCUGUGAUGAUUGAGUUUGAGUACAGAUCUGGGGAGAGGAGCGGGGUAGUUUUGCUACGGGUAUGCAGUCCCGACAGGCUGCUCAACAAGGACCGCCGGCUCAUCGUCCUAGACUUGGAGACGAGACAGAUGCGUAAGCAAGACUCGUCCUCAUUUGUGUUGUUGGAGAUUGACAUGUUAUCUCGUAAAAAAAAAACUAUGAGACAUGUGACGACAGUUGGGCGCACCACGCGGUGCGCUGGGGCUUUCCCACAUGCGUCCGAUGGGAUUCCUCCGAAGUGGUACCCGUUGAUUAGUUACUCCCCGAUAAUCGUGGCAGGCCAUCUUCCUAAGCGUAAAACUUGUCCAUCUUCUCGCCGGCCUCUUGAUCUCUACUCCCAACCCCUCCAAACCACUAUCGAGUCGAUCGGUCAGUGGGAUAUGGCUCAGCCAUGCACUUCCGUCACCGAAGACCACUUGGCCGGUCUCCUGGAGGAGUCUUCUUCCACAUGA
This 1248-nucleotide ribosomal RNA is filed under the name Triticum aestivum (bread wheat). RNAcentral's name for it is "partial small subunit ribosomal RNA". The record is from RNAcentral. Lineage: Eukaryota; Viridiplantae; Streptophyta; Magnoliopsida; Poales; Poaceae.